CGUCACACGAAAGCAUUACUGAGCAGUGUGGACUUUGCUGGAGAUUUCGUUGUGAGACAGAGGCCGCCUUGCAAAACAAACCGACUCACCCUGCUUGAACUUCUCUGCUCCCUGAUUUUCCGUCUGAAAGACGGUCUCCACGUUCCGAGUCCAGCAGGAAGGAAGUGCCGUCUGCCCAAAGGACAGGAUUCUCAGGGCUGGCGGUGAUGGUCGUGUUCCGUGCCAAUUUAAAAAAUAAACGGGUCGCCGGUU
Panthera uncia (snow leopard) is the source of this 252-nucleotide long non-coding RNA. RefSeq lists it as uncharacterized. The record is from RefSeq and is a predicted model, not a curated record. NCBI's taxonomy places the organism in Eukaryota, Metazoa, Chordata, Mammalia, Carnivora, Felidae. The transcript is spliced from 2 exons.